GAAUGAAUACUAAAUCUUGGGUCACUAAAGAAAGCUUCUGGGUUAUUUAGGUCCCCUCUGUUGCCUCUCUGACUGUCACCUCAUCACCAGAAUGGGGAGCUGCAUCCUUGUGGAACAAAUGCAAAAUGUCUUUAGCCCUGUAAAUUGGUAUUUUAGGAAGGAAAUCAGAAGUAAGCAGUUCACCUGUGAUAUCACCUCUAGAAAUGACCGAGCCAUUUUCCUUUUCAUUCUUCACCUCCUGUUCUCAGGGAACACAGACUCCUGAGAAGCCACACCUUAAAAUUGAGGACAGAAGCAUGUGAGAACAGAACACUGUCAUCACCUCCAGGAUCUCUGGUGUUACCCACAUUAACUUCUUCAAUAACCACACCCACUGCCUCCCCAGUCUCUCUCCUGUCCCAGAUUUGCUUUAGCCCCAACAUGCAAAGGGAGAAUUUGAGCAAAAAGACUUCAAGGCAUCUUGCAGAGGUGGUAGGCCUCUAUAUAAGACUUUAAACUCCUACAGAUGUGGAUUUGGAUCAGCAUGAUCUGAUUAUUCUGGCUAUUGACUCCUCAUCGGUCUACAUGGUGGCCAUACAUUCUGGAUAUAGUCCACAUGGCGUAGUGGGCAAGUAUUUUCAGCGACGGUACUGUGUUUAUGGAGGCCGCUGCAGAUGUGAACACAGCAAGCCACUGAAACGAACAAGCAACUGCUACAGAUCUAACUACAAAAUCAUCCCUUGCUGCUUCCUUAAGUCUCUCAUUCAUAGUUGGACCGCUUGUGGAAAUGAAUACAGGCGAAGCUGAGUCAGACUCAAACUUUGCAACUGUAGGAGUGGGUUCAGAGGACUGGGUAGAUGCUGUUGAGUUUGUUCCUGGGCAACUCUACUGCAGCGUACACUGCCCCUUUCUGCAGUGACCAAGGGAGAAUCAGAGAAAGAGCAAACAGCUGUGAUAACAAGCUGCUUUGCCCCUAGGCUGCAGUGGGAGAGAUGGAAAUGGGUAGAACUGUGUGUAUCUCCACAGAGAGUCAUGUGAUCAUGUAAGCUGCAGGUCCUACCUCCAAUGGAUGCUGCCCAGAGACCACAGCAUAUAAAAAUCUUGUCCUGAGGCCCAUGAGAAGGAAACGGAGCUCUCAUUUGCUGUGCAGUGCAGCAAGGAUACGAUGUGUGGGAUCUGCAUGGAGGUGGUCUGUGAGAAAGCCAGCCCCAGUGAGCGUGGCUUUGGGAUCCUCUCCAGCUGCAGCCACGCCUACUGUCUCAAGUAUAUUCACAAGUGGAAGGGCACUAAGCUAUUUGAGAGCAAGAUCAUAGUGUCCUACCCAGAAUGCCGGAUCACAUCUAACUUUGUCAUUCCCAGUGAGUACCAGGCGGGAGAAAGAAGAGAAGCAGAAACUCAUCCAGAAAGUCAAGGAGGCAAUGAGCAGCCAGGCGUGCAGGGAUUUUGAUGAAGGACAGGGGAGCUGCCCAUCUUGGGGGAUGUGUUUUUACAAGCAGGUAUUCCCUGAUGGCCAUAGAAAGGAUACACAGAGACAGGCAAACAGAUACUGGGCCCAGUGAAGGAACCACUUCUCGGAGCUCAUUGAGGAAAGAGAGAACAAUGACCCCUUUGACAACAAUGAAGAAGAGGUUGUCACCUUUGAGCUGGGUGAGAUGUUGCUUAUGCUUUUGGCAGAUGGGGACGAUGAACUGACAGACUUUGAAAAUGAGUGGGACUUGUUCCAUGAUGAUCUGGAAGAUUUUUAUGACUUGGCUCAGUAGCCACCUUGCGUGGCAUGUGAACUGGCCUGCUGACCUCAGACAGCAGCAGUCCCCUGUGGUGGUGUGACAGUGCCCAUGUUUCUCUCCUAGGCAGGCCUAUCAACUCCAGGUGCUGUCUUAAUAAUUUUUACCUAGGGCCUGUCUUCUCAAUCUGUGACCUUUCCCCAAGGAGUG
This 1913-nucleotide long non-coding RNA is filed under the name Homo sapiens (human). RNAcentral's name for it is "PREDICTED lncRNA (TCONS_00171235)". The record is from RNAcentral. Lineage: Eukaryota; Metazoa; Chordata; Mammalia; Primates; Hominidae.